This 25-nucleotide non-coding RNA is filed under the name Cricetulus griseus (Chinese hamster). The record is from RNAcentral. Lineage: Eukaryota; Metazoa; Chordata; Mammalia; Rodentia; Cricetidae.
AUGGCGGAGAAUCACUGAGAGCUGC